GUACACACCGCCCGUCACACCAUGAGAGUUGCCAACACCCGAAGUCCGUGAGGUAACCUUUUGGAGCCAGCGGCCGAAGGUGGGGGUAGCGAUUGGGGUGAAGUCGUAACAAGGUAGCCGUAGGUGAACCUGCAGAAGGAUCA
This 143-nucleotide ribosomal RNA is filed under the name uncultured eukaryote. Its description in RNAcentral is "partial small subunit ribosomal RNA". It matches the Rfam family "Bacterial small subunit ribosomal RNA", at positions 1383 to 1525 of the family's 1533-position model. The record is from RNAcentral.